GUCCACGCCCUAAACUAUGUCAACUGGUUGUUGGGAAGGUUCCUUCUCAGUAACGUAGCUAACGCGUGAAGUUGACCGCCUGGGGAGUACGGCCGCAAGGUUGAAACUCAAAGGAAUUGACGGGGGACCCGCACAAGCGGUGGAUGAUGUGGUUUAAUUCGAUGCAACGCGAAAAACCUUACCUACCAUUGACAUGUCAAGAAUCUUGCAGAGAUGUGAGAGUGCUCGAAAGAGAACUUGAACACAGGUGCUGCAUGGCCGUCGU
RNAcentral lists this ribosomal RNA (265 nucleotides) under uncultured bacterium. RNAcentral describes it as "partial 16S ribosomal RNA". It matches the Rfam family "Bacterial small subunit ribosomal RNA", at positions 793 to 1055 of the family's 1533-position model. The record is from RNAcentral.